This 503-nucleotide ribosomal RNA is filed under the name uncultured bacterium. RNAcentral's name for it is "partial 16S ribosomal RNA". It matches the Rfam family "Bacterial small subunit ribosomal RNA", at positions 30 to 523 of the family's 1533-position model. The record is from RNAcentral.
AUUGAACGCUGGCGGCAGGCUUAACACAUGCAAGUCGAGCGGGGUGAUGGUGCUUGCACUAUCACUUAGCGGCGGACGGGUGAGUAAUGCUUAGGAAUCUGCCUAUUAGUGGGGGACAACAUCUCGAAAGGGAUGCUAAUACCGCAUACGUCCUACGGGAGAAAGCAGGGGAUCACUUGUGACCUUGCGCUAAUAGAUGGGCCUAAGUCGGAUUAGCUAGUUGGUGGGGUAAAGGCCUAUCAAGGCGACGAUCUGUAGCGGGUCUGAGAGGAUGAUCCGCCACACUGGGACUGAGACACGGCCCAGACUCCUACGGGAGGCAGCAGUGGGGAAUAUUGGACAAUGGGGGGAACCCUGAUCCAGCCAUGCCGCGUGUGUGAAGAAGGCCUUAUGGUUGUAAAGCACUUUAAGCGAGGAGGAGGCUCUUUUGGUUAAUACCCAAGAUGAGUGGACGUUACUCGCAGAAUAAGCACCGGCUAACUCUGUGCCAGCAGCCGCAGUAA